Molecule: ribosomal RNA, 501 nt
Filed under: uncultured bacterium
Lineage: Bacteria
Description: partial 16S ribosomal RNA
Rfam family: Bacterial small subunit ribosomal RNA
Source: RNAcentral
AUUGAACGCUGGCGGCAGGCUUAACACAUGCAAGUCGAGCGGGGAAGGGUAGCUUGCUACCUAACCUAGCGGCGGACGGGUGAGUAAUGCUUAGGAAUCUGCCAUUUAGUGGGGGACAACAUUCCGAAAGGAAUGCUAAUACCGCAUACGUCCUACGGGAGAAAGCAGGGGAUCUUCGGACCUUGCGCUAAAUGAUGAGCCUAAGUCGGAUUAGCUAGUUGGUGGGGUAAAGGCCUACCAAGGCGACGAUCUGUAGCGGGUCUGAGAGGAUGAUCCGCCACACUGGGACUGAGACACGGCCCAGACUCCUACGGGAGGCAGCAGUGGGGAAUAUUGGACAAUGGGCGAAAGCCUGAUCCAGCCAUGCCGCGUGUGUGAAGAAGGCCUUUUGGUUGUAAAGCACUUUAAGCGAGGAGGAGGCUACUAGUACUAAUACUACUGGAUAGUGGACGUUACUCGCAGAAUAAGCACCGGCUAACUCUGUGCCAGCCGCCGCGGUAA